RNAcentral lists this transfer RNA (69 nucleotides) under Bos taurus (domestic cattle). It matches the Rfam family "tRNA". Rfam says of the family: Transfer RNA (tRNA) molecules are approximately 80 nucleotides in length. Their secondary structure includes four short double-helical elements and three loops (D, anti-codon, and T loops). Further hydrogen bonds mediate the characteristic L-shaped molecular structure. tRNAs have two regions of fundamental functional importance: the anti-codon, which is responsible for specific mRNA codon recognition, and the 3' end, to which the tRNAs corresponding amino acid is attached (by aminoacyl-tRNA synthetases). tRNAs cope with the degeneracy of the genetic code in two manners: having more than one tRNA (with a specific anti-codon) for a particular amino acid; and 'wobble' base-pairing, i.e. permitting non-standard base-pairing at the 3rd anti-codon position. Lineage: Eukaryota; Metazoa; Chordata; Mammalia; Artiodactyla; Bovidae. The record is from Rfam by way of RNAcentral.
CCUGGUGGCUCAGAAGGUAAAGCGUCUGCCUACAAUGCAGGAGACCCAGGUUUGAUCCCUGGGUCAGGA